Molecule: ribosomal RNA, 492 nt
Filed under: uncultured bacterium
Lineage: Bacteria
Description: partial 16S ribosomal RNA
Rfam family: Bacterial small subunit ribosomal RNA
Source: RNAcentral
AGUGAACGCUGUCGGUAGGCCUAACACAUUCAAGUCGAACGGCAGCACCGUCAGAGCUUGCUCUUACGUGUGGCGAGUGGCGUACGGGUGAGGAAUACAUCGGAAUCUACUUUUUCGUGGGGGAUAACGUAGGCAAACUUACGCUAAUACCGCAUACGACCUACGGGUGAAAGCAGGGGAUCUUCGGACCUUGCGCUAUUGAAUGAGCCGAUGUCGGAUUUGCUAGUUGGCGGGGUAAAGGCCCACCAAGGCGACGAUCCGUAGCUGCUAUGAGAGGAUGACCAACCACCCUGGAAUUGAGACACGGUCCAGAACAAUACGGAAGGCAGCAGUGGGAAAUAUUGGAAAAUGGGCGCAAGCCUGAUCCAGCCAUACCGCGUGGGUGAAGAAGGCCUUCGGGUUGUAAAGCACUUUUGUUGGGAAAGAAAAGCAGAAGGUUAAUACCCCGCUGUUAUGACGGUACACAAAGAAUAAGCACCGGCUAACUUCGUG